Molecule: ribosomal RNA, 253 nt
Filed under: uncultured bacterium
Lineage: Bacteria
Description: partial 16S ribosomal RNA
Rfam family: Bacterial small subunit ribosomal RNA
Source: RNAcentral
UACGUAGGGUGCAAGCGUUGUCCGGAAUUAUUGGGCGUAAAGAGCUCGUAGGCGGCUUGUCACGUCGACUGUGAAAACCCGGGGCUCAACUCCGGGCCUGCAGUCGAUACGGGCUGGCUUGAGUGCGGUAGGGGAGACUGGAAUUCCUGGUGUAGCGGUGAAAUGCGCAGAUAUCAGGAGGAACACCGAUGGCGAAGGCAGGUCUCUGGGCCACUACUGACGCUGAGAAGCGAAAGUAUGGGGAGCGAACAGG